Molecule: long non-coding RNA, 1498 nt
Organism: Gadus chalcogrammus (walleye pollock)
Lineage: Eukaryota; Metazoa; Chordata; Actinopteri; Gadiformes; Gadidae
Exons: 2
Source: RefSeq, a predicted model, not a curated record
AUCAGUGUAAUACAGUUUUAGCUCACAAGGUGUCGACCUGGGUUUACAAUCCUGCAUAUCGAACCUGUCAAGUAGCUUGUCAACAUAACUCUGCUGUGACAUGGUCACACAUCCAUUACACUGGUUAAAAGUGAUACCAAGAAAAUUCUUCAGUCUGCCCAAAUCUUUCAUCUGGAACUUAACAGUAAACUUCUCUUUAACUGCUUUUAAAGCUCUCUCAUCACUGGCUGCAAUAACCAGGUCAUCAACCCAGAUCAGUAUGAUCACCUUGUCAUGUUCGGUUUCUCUAACAUAAACACAAUAAUCGGCUGGGUUCUGUACAAACAUGUUUUCACAUAGAUAGUCAUGCAACAUUUUGUUCCAGUUUCGACCUGAUUGUUUAAGCCCAUAUAGUGACUUCUCUAGUCUACACACCAACUUCUCACUUGUCUGUGAUUUUACAUCAUAACCCUCUGGCUGUUCCAUGUAAAUCUCACAAUCAAUUGGUGCAUGUAGGUAGGCAGUUUUAACAUCCAUCUGAUGUAGGAUCAGAUCCUCUUGGGCAGCUUUCUGCAUCAAAACUCUCACACUAGUUAGGUCAGCAGUAGGAGAAAACGUUUCUCCAUAGUCUACACCCAUCUGUUGACUGUAUCCCUUGGCUACAUAGCGGGCCUUGUACUUGUCAGAUCCAUCAACAUUGGUUUUGACAGUGUACACCCAUCUACCCCCCACUGCUUUCUUGCCCACAGGUAAGGUGGUCAGAGUAAAUGUUAUGUUAUCCCUCAGUGCCUUCAUCUCCUCAUCCAUUGCAUCUACCCACUCUCUUGAGUUGGAUAAAGUCACAGCAUCUCUGAACGUCUGAGGGUAUCUCCGUGGAGACUGGGAUUCUGGCUUGACCUCACCUGUCUGUAGGCCUAUCUGGCUUGGACCUGGCCUAGCCUCUGGGAUGUCGUUCUGCUCGGGUUUGUCGGGGUCAGGUCUGGUUGUGCUAGACUGCACACCACUGUCAUCGUCUGACAUGCCAUCAGUCUGCGGUCCCUCAACACAGGACAUGAACCUCACCAGUCUGUGCUUCAUCACCUUCCUGCUGUCAGGGUAGUAGACCAUAUAGGCUGGACUGUUCUUAUCAUAACCAACAAAGAUGCCUUUGUCAGACCUUGACUCUAGCUUCUUCCUGUCCUGCCUAUAGGCGUAACACACAUUACCAAACUUCUGCAUCCUGGAGACAUUAGGUCUCCUUCCUGUCAGCAUAAAGUAAGGUGUCUCUCUGGUGCGGUUGUUAAAACAUCUAUUCCUCACCACUGCUGCUGUCUGGACCGCAUACGGCCAUAGCUCCUUGGCUAACUGGCUCUCCAAGAGCAUACAUCUAGCCAUGACAAAAAGGGUUCUCCAGUUACGCUCUGCGGUGCCAUUCUGGUGUGGUGAGUAUGGUGCUGAUGUUUCAUGUCUGAUUCUAUUUCUACGCAGUAGGGCUUGGUAACCCUGCCCUGUGAACUCAGUACCAUUGUCAGACCUGAUA